GACAGUUUGUACAGAAAUUCUUUAGUUAUGCAAACUGAUUGUUGCAGUAGCUGUCCGGGUGGCUUGUCUCAGACGAUCUUGGAGGUGAAGAUGCUGGAUGUGGAGGUCUUGUGCAGGUUUGGUUACACGUGGUCUGCGGUUGUGAGGACGGUUGGAUGUACUGCCAAAUUCUCUGAAAUUAUUUUGGAGACUGCUCAUGGUAGCCGCGAAAUGAGCAUUCGAG
Molecule: non-coding RNA, 223 nt
Organism: Pelobates cultripes (western spadefoot toad)
Lineage: Eukaryota; Metazoa; Chordata; Amphibia; Anura; Pelobatidae
Source: the annotation of a GenBank genome assembly